Molecule: ribosomal RNA, 119 nt
Filed under: Corvus moneduloides (New Caledonian crow)
Lineage: Eukaryota; Metazoa; Chordata; Aves; Passeriformes; Corvidae
Source: RNAcentral
GCCUACGGCCAUACCACCCUGAAAAAGCCAGAUCUCGUCUGAUCUCGGAAGCUAAGCAGGGUCGGGCCCGGUUAGUACUUGGAUGGGAGACCGCCUGGGAAUACCGGGUGCUGUAGGCC